This 364-nucleotide long non-coding RNA is filed under the name Pan troglodytes (chimpanzee). RNAcentral describes it as "long non-coding RNA NONPTRT017769". Lineage: Eukaryota; Metazoa; Chordata; Mammalia; Primates; Hominidae. The record is from RNAcentral.
AUAUUUACUAAGUCAAGGCUCUAUAAAGACCACCUAAUAUUAUGGCCUUUGAGGUGCAGAAAUGAAAGACUAGAAUCAACAGGGUUAGAGCUUAUAAGAACUUCUAAAGGGUUACUAAACAUGAACAAUAAAUUUGACUGUGAGGUUCCUGGUAGCCAAAGCAAAACUGCAAACCAAGUUAGUGACAGAACCAGCAUCAAAAUUAAGCGUCAGUCCAUUUUGCUUUUUGCUCCAUUAAAACAUUUGUUUUAAUUGAGUCUACUUUUAUGGUCUUAAAAUAUUUUUGGGUGUAAUGUUCUUUUUCUUUCUCUCCAUUUAUUCCGUCUGUGGAAAUGGCCUGUGUGAGGGGACUCAGAGCUACUCC